GACGAACGCUGGCGGCGUGCUUAACACAUGCAAGUCGAACGGGGCUACUAUGAUGGAGUUUUCGGACAACUGAUUAGUAUGCCUAGUGGCGGACGGGUGAGUAACGCGUGAGUAACCUGCCUUUCAGAGGGGGACAACAGCUGGAAACGGCUGCUAAUACCGCAUAAUAUAUACAGGUCGCAUGAUUUGUAUAUCAAAGAUUUAUCGCUGGAAGAUGGACUCGCGUCUGAUUAGCUAGUUGGCGGGGUAACGGCCCACCAAGGCGACGAUCAGUAGCCGGACUGAGAGGCUGAUCGGGCCACAAUGGGAACUGAGACACGGGUCCAUACUCCUACGGGAGCAGCAGUAGGGAAUCUUCCACAAUGGGCGCAAGCCUGGAUGGAGCAACACCGCGUGAGUGAAGAAGGGUUUC
This 412-nucleotide ribosomal RNA is filed under the name uncultured bacterium. Its description in RNAcentral is "bacterial SSU rRNA". It matches the Rfam family "Bacterial small subunit ribosomal RNA", at positions 28 to 419 of the family's 1533-position model. The record is from RNAcentral.